Musa acuminata subsp. malaccensis (wild Malaysian banana) is the source of this 204-nucleotide non-coding RNA. The record is from RefSeq and is a predicted model, not a curated record. NCBI's taxonomy places the organism in Eukaryota, Viridiplantae, Streptophyta, Magnoliopsida, Zingiberales, Musaceae.
AACCUUGUGGCCUUUCUUGAAACCGCAAACUCUGAGAUAAUUGCCGUCAUUCUAGAUAUACAUGGCCUUUGCAAGAAGACUUUCAUCUGGGGGUAUCGCAUCACCAUCGGUAUGCUGCAAGCAGUAACAAUACCAUGAUAUAGACCCCCUGGGGCACGGGCACUGGAAACAUGUAAUUAUGCAUAUGAAUUUGCUUUUAUUCCA